This is a long non-coding RNA of Apus apus (common swift), 457 nucleotides long. RefSeq lists it as uncharacterized. Lineage: Eukaryota; Metazoa; Chordata; Aves; Apodiformes; Apodidae. The record is from RefSeq and is a predicted model, not a curated record. The transcript has 2 exons.
UGCUCCCCGCGCCUGCCCCCUGCGGCGGGAGCGCCGUGUUCCCGCACGGAUUCUGGGGGAGCGGUCCCGAGCCGCAGCGCCUGGCGUGCACGCGGAGGCUGAAGCUUUUAUUCGGCUUAAAAACGGAGAAACCUCAGAGGGAAUCGCUCGUUUUAAGAUACCUGGAAAAGGUUUUGGAGAAAAUAAGAGCCAAACUCCACUCGGAAUACAACGAAGAAAGGGAGCCCUACGCUGUAGCUUCCAUUUCCUCUGUGGCAUAUUAUUUCACUUUAGACUUUUUCACGUUUUGCAGUUAGAAAAUGAAACUGAAAAUGGAAAUGAAAAUAAUUUUGACAUCCUAUAUAUUGAAUAAGAAGAUGCAAAGCUCUGGUGCCCACGAUGUCGGUGAGGUCAAAUGAUUGAGAAACUGAAGCAGGAGCUGAUUGGUUUGAAACAAGAAGUGCAAGAAGAGAAGAGG